GAUGAACGCUGGCGGCGUGCCUAAUACAUGCAAGUCGAGCGAACGGACGAGAAGCUUGCUUCUCUGAUGUUAGCGGCGGACGGGUGAGUAACACGUGGAUAACCUACCUAUAAGACUGGGAUAACUUCGGGAAACCGUAGCUAAUACCGGAUAAUAUUUUGAACCGCAUGGUUCAAAAGUGAAAGACGGUCUUGCUGUCACUUAUAGAUGGAUCCGCGCUGCAUUAGCUAGUUGGUAAGGUAACGGCUUACCAAGGCACGAUGCAUAGCCGACCUGAGAGGGUGAUCGGCCACACUGGAACUGAGACACGGUCCAGACUCCUACGGGAGGCAGCAGUAGGGAAUCUUCCGCAAUGGGCGAAAGCCUGACGGAGCAACGACGCGUGAGUGAUGAAGGUCUUCGGAUCGUAAAACUCUGUUAUUAGGGAAGAACAUAUGUGUAAGUAACUGUGCACAUCUUGACGGUACCUAAUCAGAAAGCCACGGCUAACUACGUG
RNAcentral lists this ribosomal RNA (496 nucleotides) under uncultured bacterium. Its description in RNAcentral is "partial 16S ribosomal RNA". It matches the Rfam family "Bacterial small subunit ribosomal RNA", at positions 28 to 507 of the family's 1533-position model. The record is from RNAcentral.